Molecule: non-coding RNA, 324 nt
Organism: Nylanderia fulva
Lineage: Eukaryota; Metazoa; Arthropoda; Insecta; Hymenoptera; Formicidae
Source: RefSeq, a predicted model, not a curated record
CUCAAAAAAAAUAGCGUCAGAGAAAUGCUACGGCGCAUGCGUUGGAUUACUAUCCACAAUAUGGCGUACAGUGAGUUGUAAACACAUUUCAGGUUUGAAAAUAUUUUUAAAAAACAUUGUUAUAAUAAUGGAACGUCGCGUAGUUGUUGGUGGUUUCACGUGCGCAAUGCAAGAUUGCAAUGAAAAUUCCGGCUCCAGUCGUCACUUGAGCUUUUUUCGCUUUCCAUCUCAUCCAGAAAGAGCACAAUUGUGGCUACAAGCAUGCGGAAUAAAAAAAAAUAUUGCACCAAAAAAGUUAUAUAAUAAUUAUAGAGUUUGCUUAAA